ACGAACGCUGGCGGCGUGCUUAACACCUGCAAGUCGAACGGAAAGGCCCUGCUUUUGUGGGGUGCUCGAGUGGCGAACGGGUGAGUAACACGUGAGUAACCUGCCCUUGACUUUGGGAUAACUUCAGGAAACUGGGGCUAAUACCGGAUAGGAGCUCCUGCUGCAUGGUGGGGGUUGGAAAGUUUCGGCGGUUGGGGAUGGACUCGCGGCUUAUCAGCUUGUUGGUGGGGUAGUGGCUUACCAAGGCUUUGACGGGUAGCCGGCCUGAGAGGGUGACCGGCCACAUUGGGACUGAGAUACGGCCCAGACUCCUACGGGAGGCAGCAGUGGAGAAUAUUGCACAAUGGGCGGAAGCCUGAUGCAGCAACGCCGCGUGCGGGAUGACGGCCUUCGGGUUGUAAACCGCUUUCGCCUGUGACGAAGCGUGAGUGACGGUAAUGGGUAAAGAAGCACCGGCUAACUACGUG
This 467-nucleotide ribosomal RNA is filed under the name uncultured bacterium. Its description in RNAcentral is "partial 16S ribosomal RNA". It matches the Rfam family "Bacterial small subunit ribosomal RNA", at positions 29 to 507 of the family's 1533-position model. The record is from RNAcentral.